RNAcentral lists this ribosomal RNA (497 nucleotides) under uncultured bacterium. Its description in RNAcentral is "partial 16S ribosomal RNA". It matches the Rfam family "Bacterial small subunit ribosomal RNA", at positions 28 to 507 of the family's 1533-position model. The record is from RNAcentral.
GACGAACGCUGGCGGCGUGCCUAAUACAUGCAAGUCGAGCGGACGGAUGGGAGCUUGCUCCCAGACCGUCAGCGGCGGACGGGUGAGUAACACGUGGGCAACCUGCCUGUAAGACUGGGAUAACUCCGGGAAACCGGGGCUAAUACCGGAUAACUCUUUCCCUCACAUGAGGGAAAGCUGAAAGAUGGCAUCUCGCUAUCACUUACAGAUGGGCCCGCGGCGCAUUAGCUAGUUGGUGAGGUAACGGCUCACCAAGGCGACGAGGCGUAGCCGACCUGGGAGGGUGAUCGGCCACACGGGACCUGAGACACGGCCCGGACUCCAACGGGAGGCGGCGGAGGGGAAGCUUCGGCAAUGGACGAAGUCUGACGGAGCAACGCCGCGUGAGUGAUGAAGGUUUUCGGAUCGUAAAACUCUGUUGUCAGGGAAGAACAAGUACCGGAGUAACUGCCGGUACCUUGACGGUACCUGAACAGAAAGCCACGGCUAACUACGUG